RNAcentral lists this unclassified non-coding RNA (493 nucleotides) under Hevea brasiliensis (rubber tree). The record is from RNAcentral. Lineage: Eukaryota; Viridiplantae; Streptophyta; Magnoliopsida; Malpighiales; Euphorbiaceae.
UGUUGGUGAGACGUGUGAGCAAUUAAGUGAAUCUUACGUGGAGGUGCCUAUUGUGAAUGAGCAUGAAGAAUUGUCACAGGAUUUGUCCUCGCCAAAUUUGAAAAAUAAGGCUGACAAUAGCAAUGAUGUUACUGUCACUGGGAAGCAACGAGGAGGGAAACGAAAAUUUGCAAGGAGGGGCAGGGGACGGGUUAAAUAAUUUUUAAUCUUGUCUUUGUAAUUUACUGUAAAUUGACUGUAAACUAGUUUAGAAUUAAAGAUAGCACCACUAAAGGCAUUUUGUAAACUGUAGCGAGAUGGAUACUUGUUAGUUUAGUAUUUAACCAAGCAGGGAUUUUCGCCCUUAAAUUGGGUGAUUCAUUUGUAAUCUGUACCAGUAGUUUAGCGUUUGACCAAGCAAGCGUUUUACCCUUAAAUUGGGUAAAUCAAUAAUUAGUUUGAAUUGUUAAACCAACUUGGGCCGGUCUAGACCAGUAAUCCCGCUGAAAAGGCC